Molecule: ribosomal RNA, 291 nt
Filed under: uncultured prokaryote
Description: partial 16S ribosomal RNA
Rfam family: Bacterial small subunit ribosomal RNA
Source: RNAcentral
GUGUCAGCCGCCGCGGUAAUACAGAGGGUGCGAGCGUUAAUCGGAUUUACUGGGCGUAAAGCGUGCGUAGGUGGCCAAUUAAGUCAAAUGUGAAAUCCCUGAGCUUAACUUAGGAAUUGCAUUCGAUACUGGUUGGCUAGAGUAUGGGAGAGGAUGGUAGAAUUCCAGGUGUAGCGGUGAAAUGCGUAGAGAUCUGGAGGAAUACCGAUGGCGAAGGCAGCCAUCUGGCCUAAUACUGACACUGAGGUACGAAAGCAUGGGGAGCAAACAGGAUUAGAAACCCUCGUAGUC